AAGUUUAUUGAUAAGUGCACAUGUCAUGGUGUAAAUUUGAAGUUUACCAAUUUUGAUAAUUUGUUCAGUUAGCAUUCGUAUUGGCCAUCUCAUUUUAAGUACGAUGUGCAAGUUCACACAGGUGAAUAUCAAAGAACUAGAAAGUUCUUUACGAAUUCUCUUGUAUCACUUGUUCUCAUUAAUGAACUGACCAAUUAAAGAGUUCGGGUCGAAGCCCAUAAAUUCUGGAAAUAUCAAAGGUGAAUAUGGGCCCAUUCACCUGCCAUGUAUACCACAUAUGAUGCAUCUAUGAAAUGGUUACAUGCGCAANNNNN
RNAcentral lists this long non-coding RNA (314 nucleotides) under Nicotiana benthamiana. RNAcentral describes it as "long non-coding RNA (NBEN_LNC022261)". The record is from RNAcentral. Lineage: Eukaryota; Viridiplantae; Streptophyta; Magnoliopsida; Solanales; Solanaceae.